This 253-nucleotide ribosomal RNA is filed under the name uncultured bacterium. RNAcentral's name for it is "partial 16S ribosomal RNA". It matches the Rfam family "Bacterial small subunit ribosomal RNA", at positions 524 to 776 of the family's 1533-position model. The record is from RNAcentral.
UACGUAGGGGGCAAGCGUUGUCCGGAAUCAUUGGGCGUAAAGAGCGUGUAGGCGGCUCGGUAAGUCCGCUGUGAAAGUCCAGGGCUCAACCCUGGAAUGCCGGUGGAAACUGUCGAGCUCGAGUCCGGAAGAGGCGAGUGGAAUUCCUGGUGUAGCGGUGAAAUGCGCAGAUAUCAGGAGGAACACCAAUGGCGAAGGCGGCUCGCUGGGACGGUACUGACGCUGAGACGCGAAAGCGUGGGGAGCAAACAGG